This 253-nucleotide ribosomal RNA is filed under the name uncultured bacterium. RNAcentral describes it as "partial 16S ribosomal RNA". It matches the Rfam family "Bacterial small subunit ribosomal RNA", at positions 524 to 776 of the family's 1533-position model. The record is from RNAcentral.
UACGUAGGGUGCAAGCGUUGUCCGGAAUUAUUGGGCGUAAAGAGCUCGUAGGCGGUUUGUCGCGUCUGCUGUGAAAACUCGGGGCUCAACUCCGAGCUUGCAGUGGGUACGGGCAGACUAGAGUGCGGUAGGGGAGACUGGAAUUCCUGGUGUAGCGGUGGAAUGCGCAGAUAUCAGGAGGAACACCGGUGGCGAAGGCGGGUCUCCGGGCAGUAACUGACGCUGAGGAGCGAAAGCGUGGGGAGCGAACAGG